This 259-nucleotide long non-coding RNA is filed under the name Elaeis guineensis (African oil palm). RNAcentral describes it as "long non-coding RNA (EGUI_LNC075220)". The record is from RNAcentral. Lineage: Eukaryota; Viridiplantae; Streptophyta; Magnoliopsida; Arecales; Arecaceae.
CUUUUCAUCUAUUUUUUCUAAAACUUUUGAUCCAAAUAGUGGAUGAAGGUCAUCCAUCUCUCCAACUCCAUCCAUCCUUCCUCUUAUAAUUCCAACCAAACAUAGAGUUCGUAAGCUAAGGGAGUUAGAAAAUGAUGAUAAUGAUUUAUUUUAUGAAUAUAUUGAUAGAGAUAUUAUCAACAAAGAAAUGAGAAUUUGGAUAGAGCAUUCUAGACUCUAUGUAGAUGUAGAUUUUCUUAGAGAUGAGCGGUCUAUGGGG